GAUUUCUGAACUGAAAUAUUUAACCGGCCACGGUUUCGUGUGUUAGUGUUUUGUAUUCUGUUCAUCCUUCCAAUCGCUAUUCUGUUUUCUUCAUUGAUUGCAGAGUGGUAUUGGAUCUUUUACUUUGAAAAAAUUAGAGUGUUUCAAGCAGGCUUUAUGCUAUGAAUACAUUAGCAUGGAAUAAUAAUUUAGGACUUCGGUUCUAUUUUGUUGGUUUCUAGGACUGAAGUAAUGAUUGAUAGGGAUAGUUGGGGGUGCUAGUAUUCAGCGGCCAGAGGUGAAAUUCUCGGAUUCGCUGAAGACUAACUUAUGCGAAAGCAUU
RNAcentral lists this ribosomal RNA (322 nucleotides) under uncultured Sandonidae. Its description in RNAcentral is "bacterial SSU rRNA". The stretch from base 112 to 322 matches the Rfam family "Eukaryotic small subunit ribosomal RNA", at positions 744 to 955 of the family's 1831-position model. Lineage: Eukaryota; Cercozoa; Glissomonadida; Viridiraptoridae. The record is from RNAcentral.